RNAcentral lists this ribosomal RNA (188 nucleotides) under uncultured bacterium. RNAcentral's name for it is "partial 16S ribosomal RNA". It matches the Rfam family "Bacterial small subunit ribosomal RNA", at positions 338 to 523 of the family's 1533-position model. The record is from RNAcentral.
CCUACGGGAGGCAGCAGUGAGGAAUAUUGGACAAUGGGCGCAAGCCUGAUCCAGCCAUGCCGCGUGCAGGAUGACGGUCCUAUGGAUUGUAAACUGCUUUUAUACAGGAAGAAACACUCCUUCGUGUAGUAGCUUGACGGUACUGUAAGAAUAAGGAUCGGCUAACUCCGUGCCAGCAGCCGCGGUAA